This 283-nucleotide ribosomal RNA is filed under the name uncultured bacterium. RNAcentral describes it as "partial 16S ribosomal RNA". It matches the Rfam family "Bacterial small subunit ribosomal RNA", at positions 29 to 334 of the family's 1533-position model. The record is from RNAcentral.
AACGAACGUUGGUGAGAUGUUUUAAGCAUGCAAGUUGAGCGAGGUCUUCGGACCAAGCGGCGAACGGGUGAGUAACACGUAGCUACCUGCCAAUCAGACUGGGAUAGCCCUGGGAAACCAGGAUUAAUACCGGAUAUGAAGUAAUUUAAAAGACGCGAUGGUGUCACUGAUUGAUGGGGCUGCGGCUGAUUAGCUAGAUGGUGGGGUAAUGGCCUACCAUGGCGAUGAUCAGUAGCCGGCCUGAGAGGGUGAUCGGCCACAUUGGGACUGAGAUACGGCCCAG